UACGUAGGGUGCGAGCGUUGUCCGGAAUUAUUGGGCGUAAAGAGCUUGUAGGCGGUCUGUCGCGUCUGCUGUGAAAAUCCGGGGCUCAACCCCGGACUUGCAGUGGGUACGGGCAAACUAGAGUGUUGCAGGGGAGACUGGAAUUCCUGGUGUAGCGGUGAAAUGCGCAGAUAUCAGGAGGAACACCGGUGGCGAAGGCGGGUCUCUGGGCAACAACUGACGCUGAGGAGCGAAAGCAUGGGGAGCGAACAGG
RNAcentral lists this ribosomal RNA (253 nucleotides) under uncultured bacterium. RNAcentral's name for it is "partial 16S ribosomal RNA". It matches the Rfam family "Bacterial small subunit ribosomal RNA", at positions 524 to 776 of the family's 1533-position model. The record is from RNAcentral.